GUUGUGGCUCAGAGGUAGAGCGCUUGCCUCGCAUGCGUGGAACCCUGGAUUCGAUCCUCAGCACCACA
RNAcentral lists this transfer RNA (68 nucleotides) under Marmota monax (woodchuck). RNAcentral's name for it is "tRNA.Ala". Lineage: Eukaryota; Metazoa; Chordata; Mammalia; Rodentia; Sciuridae. The record is from RNAcentral.